This 64-nucleotide transfer RNA is filed under the name Heterocephalus glaber (naked mole-rat). It matches the Rfam family "tRNA", at positions 1 to 62 of the family's 71-position model. Rfam says of the family: Transfer RNA (tRNA) molecules are approximately 80 nucleotides in length. Their secondary structure includes four short double-helical elements and three loops (D, anti-codon, and T loops). Further hydrogen bonds mediate the characteristic L-shaped molecular structure. tRNAs have two regions of fundamental functional importance: the anti-codon, which is responsible for specific mRNA codon recognition, and the 3' end, to which the tRNAs corresponding amino acid is attached (by aminoacyl-tRNA synthetases). tRNAs cope with the degeneracy of the genetic code in two manners: having more than one tRNA (with a specific anti-codon) for a particular amino acid; and 'wobble' base-pairing, i.e. permitting non-standard base-pairing at the 3rd anti-codon position. The record is from Rfam by way of RNAcentral. Lineage: Eukaryota; Metazoa; Chordata; Mammalia; Rodentia; Bathyergidae.
GGGGAUUUAGCUCAGUGGUGCCGGCGCCUGCCUGGCAAGCAUGAGGUCCUGAGUUCAAUCCCCA